RNAcentral lists this small nuclear RNA (107 nucleotides) under Sorex araneus (European shrew). Lineage: Eukaryota; Metazoa; Chordata; Mammalia; Eulipotyphla; Soricidae. The record is from RNAcentral.
GUGCUCACUUCGGCAGCACAUAUACUAAAAUUGGAACAAUACAGAGAAGAUUAGCACAGCCCCUGCACAAGGAUGACACGCAAAUUCAUGAAGUGUUCCAUAUUUUU